AUUGAACGCUGGCGGAAUGCUUUACGCAUGCAAGUCGAACGGCAGCACGGGUGCUUGCACCUGGUGGCGAGUGGCGAACGGGUGAGUAAUACAUCGGAACGUGCCCAGUAAUGGGGGAUAACACAGCGAAAGCUGUGCUAAUACCGCAUACGCCCUGAGGGGGAAAGCGGGGGAUCGAAAGACCUCGCGUUAUUGGAGCGGCCGAUGCCUGAUUAGCUAGUUGGUAGGGUAAAGGCCUACCAAGGCGACGAUCAGUAGCUGGUCUGAGAGGAUGAUCAGCCACACUGGAACUGAGACACGGUCCAGACUCCUACGGGAGGCAGCAGUGGGGAAUUUUGGACAAUGGGGGAAACCCUGAUCCAGCCAUUCCGCGUGAGUGAAGAAGGCCUUCGGGUUGUGAAGCUCUUUCGGCAGGGAAGAAACGCUCUGGGUUAAUAACCUGGGGUAAUGACGGUACCUGAAGAAGAAGCACCGGCUAACUACGUGCCAGCCGCCGCCGUAA
RNAcentral lists this ribosomal RNA (502 nucleotides) under uncultured bacterium. Its description in RNAcentral is "partial 16S ribosomal RNA". It matches the Rfam family "Bacterial small subunit ribosomal RNA", at positions 30 to 523 of the family's 1533-position model. The record is from RNAcentral.